RNAcentral lists this ribosomal RNA (762 nucleotides) under Entrophospora claroidea. RNAcentral's name for it is "partial 28S large subunit ribosomal RNA". It matches the Rfam family "Eukaryotic large subunit ribosomal RNA", at positions 38 to 648 of the family's 3401-position model. Lineage: Eukaryota; Fungi; Glomeromycota; Glomeromycetes; Entrophosporales; Entrophosporaceae. The record is from RNAcentral.
GCAUAUCAAUAAGCGGAGGAAAAGAAACUAACAAGGAUUCCCCUAGUAACGGCGAGUGAAGAGGGAAGAGCUCAAAUUUUAAAUCUGCCUUGUUUCAAGGUCUGAGUUGUAAUUUGAAGAAGCGUUUUCUUGGGCUCGCGACCGGUAGAAGUUCUUUGGAACAGGACAUCAUAGAGGGUGACAAUCCCGUCUGCGACCGGUCGUGCGUUCAUCUACGAUACGCUUUCAAAGAGUCGAGUUGUUUGGGAUUGCAGCUCCAAAUGGGUGGUAAACAUCACCUAAGGCUAAAUAUUGGCGAGAGACCGAUAGCGAACGAGUACCGUGAGGGAAAGAUGAAAAGAACUUUGAAAAGAGAGUUAAACAGUACGUGAAAUUGUUGAAAGGGAAACGAUUGAAGUCAGGCGUGCUGGCGCGAAAUCAACCCUCUCGUCGAGAGGACACAUGGCGUGGCGAGCCUCAAAACCGUCACGAAGCGUGAACUCUUGGCGAAAAGGAGCACUUUCGUGUCCGCUGGUUAACAUCAAUUUCGAACGUCAUAAAAAGGCUGGAGGGAUGUGGCUCCUUCGGGAGUGUUAUAACCUUUAGCGGAAUGUGGUGGUCGGGAUUGAGGAUUGCAACGAAUACCUUUAGGGCUGUUCCACCUGGCUUCUCUUUGGUAUCCUGGUGACGACAAGCUUGCUGACAGUUGUUAGGAUUCGCCUUUGAACUGGCUAGAGUGUGAGCAAAUUCGUUAAGGAUGUUGACGUAAUGGCUUUAAACGAC